GAGGGUACAGCUCAGUGGCAGAGUGCAUGCUUAGCAUGCACAAGGUCCUGGGUUCAAUCCCCAGUACCUCCA
This 72-nucleotide transfer RNA is filed under the name Camelus bactrianus (Bactrian camel). It matches the Rfam family "tRNA". Rfam says of the family: Transfer RNA (tRNA) molecules are approximately 80 nucleotides in length. Their secondary structure includes four short double-helical elements and three loops (D, anti-codon, and T loops). Further hydrogen bonds mediate the characteristic L-shaped molecular structure. tRNAs have two regions of fundamental functional importance: the anti-codon, which is responsible for specific mRNA codon recognition, and the 3' end, to which the tRNAs corresponding amino acid is attached (by aminoacyl-tRNA synthetases). tRNAs cope with the degeneracy of the genetic code in two manners: having more than one tRNA (with a specific anti-codon) for a particular amino acid; and 'wobble' base-pairing, i.e. permitting non-standard base-pairing at the 3rd anti-codon position. The record is from Rfam by way of RNAcentral. RNAcentral also lists the same sequence under 3 other names. Lineage: Eukaryota; Metazoa; Chordata; Mammalia; Artiodactyla; Camelidae.